AUUGAACGCUGGCGGAAUGCUUUACACAUGCAAGUCGAGCGGCAGCGCGGGGCAACCUGGCGGCGAGCGGCGAACGGGUGAGUAAUGCAUCGGAACGUACCCAGUCGUGGGGGAUAACUGUCCGAAAGGACAGCUAAUACCGCAUACGUCCUGAGGGAGAAAGCGGGGGAUCGCAAGACCUCGCGCGAUUGGAGCGGCCGAUGCCGGAUUAGCUAGUUGGUAGGGUAAAGGCCUACCAAGGCGACGAUCCGUAGCUGGUCUGAGAGGACGACCAGCCACACUGGAACUGAGACACGGUCCAGACUCCUACGGGAGGCAGCAGUGGGGAAUUUUGGACAAUGGGCGCAAGCCUGAUCCAGCCAUGCCGCGUGAGUGAAGAAGGCCUCGGUUGUAAGACUCUUUCGUCCGGGUACGAAAGUACGCACGGGUUAAGUACCCUACGUGUGGAGUGACGGUACCGG
This 461-nucleotide ribosomal RNA is filed under the name uncultured bacterium. RNAcentral's name for it is "bacterial SSU rRNA". It matches the Rfam family "Bacterial small subunit ribosomal RNA", at positions 29 to 481 of the family's 1533-position model. The record is from RNAcentral.